CAAGCUGCAAACACUGUGCAAGUGACGGCCUACGCCAAGGUCGACGCCGUCCAUGUCGAUGCGGUGAAGCAGCGGCCGGGCGUCCCCGUGCUGGUGCGCGUCGUCGCGCCACCGCCGGCGGCGGCGUCAUCGGAGCGCGCCCCGAUUGACCUCGUCGCGGUGCUCGACGUCAGCUGCUGCGGCGGGCUGGGGCCGGUGAACCGGAUGGAUCUCCUCAAGAAGGCCAUGGGCUUCGUCAUCGACAAGCUCGGCGAGCAUGACCGCCUCGCCGUCGUCCCCGUCCAGGCCUCCGCCGCCAUCGCCGAGAAGCACGAUCUCGUGGAGAUGAACGCUGAGGGACGGAAGGAGGCCACUAGGAUGGUGCAGUCGUCGUUGACGAAAAGACCGGGGUUCAUCGUCCUCAUCUCCGACGGCGACGACGCCUCCGUCCUCAACGAUGCCAUGAACCUCAACUGCUCCGUCCACGCCUUCGGCUUCCGCGACGCCCACAACGCAAGGGCCAUGCACCGCAUCGCCAACACCUCGGCCGGCACCUACGGCAUCCUCAACGACGGCCACGACGGGCUCGCCGACGCCUUCGUCACCAGCGUCGGCAACAUCACCUCCAUCGUCGCCGUCGACGCGGAGGUCAGCGUCUCCUGCAGCGGCGCGGAGUCGACGGCGGCGAAGCUGACGGCCAUCGAGUCCGGCAGGUUCAAGCACGACAUCAAUGGUGGCGGAAAGCGCGGCACCAUCCAGGCCGGCGCCCUCCAGGCCGGCGCGGUGAGGAGCUUCCUCGUCUACGUGGACAACGUCGGCGACGACGAGCUCGAACACCUGCCGAGCAUGCUCACCGUCGGCGUGCAGUACGAGGACCGUUCGACGACGACGUCGCAGAACGCGGCGGAGAACCAGGCCGGGCGAGAGAUGGCACGGCGAACCGCCCAGGUCGUCGUCGUCAGGGACGGCGACGAGCACUCGAGGUUGGUGGCGGCGGAGAUCGUCCGCGUCGCGGCGAUGAGGAUCGUCGGCGAGAUCAUCAAAAAUUACGGCGACAACGGGAGGGCGCUCGCCGGCGCCGCCGACGAGCUGCACAAGCAGUGGAGCCUCCUGAAGAAGUCGGAGUUCGCCAAGGAGGCCGCCCCGGCGUGCUUCGUCUCCGCGCUCGACGCGGAGAUGUCGGAGAUGGAGGCCACCCUGCGCCGGAGCUCCGGCAUGUCGUACAUGCUGUCGUGGCAGACCUGCCACUCCCUGCAGCACCUGCAGCACGCGCGUUCGUCGUCGUCGCCGUCGGCGACGACGUCGGUGGCGGCGGCGGCGAAGGGGAACGGCGGCGCGUCGGCUGUGGCGGCGGCAGCGCGGCAGAGCUUCACGGCGGGAGGGGCGGCGGCGAUGGGCAAGUUCGUGUGGUCCGGAGCUCAUCACGGCGGCGGCGGCGGCGGCGGCGAGAGGAAGCGCAAGUACCAGAGCUCGGAGAUGGAGAUGAUCGAGCAGCGGCUGGCGUACUGGACCAAGGUGAAGUGCGAGCUGCCGCCGAUGCAUCACGACGGCGAGUGCCCCGACCACAUGACCACCAUCUUCCGCGAUGCCUCCCGCGACUCCAUCGACCGCGCCAUGCCGUCGUGCAUGCGACCGGCCGGAGGAGCUCCAAUGUCACUUAUCAUCUCUUCUGAAUUAGUUCCAACUCUUCUGUUUGCACUUGAUUUGCAAAUUCAACUAGGUCCAACAAUGUACAUUAAUCUGGCUCCAGUGUCAGCUCUGGCGAGUGACAAGGUACAGCUGAGCACUUUCCCGAGGGUGGACGCGAUCCCCCGUCGGGAAUGCCACCCGCGUCUCCCGGUGCUGGUGCGCGUCGCCGUGCCGGCGACGGCGGCGCGCCGUGCACCGGUUGACCUCGUCACCCUGCUCGACAUCAGCUGCGGCGGCGGCGGCGGCGCGCCGGCGAGGAGGCUGGACCUGCUGAGGAAGGCGAUGGACCUCGUCAUUGGAAACCUCGGCGCCGACGACCGCCUCGCCAUCGUGCCGUUCCACUCCUCCGUCGUCGACGCCACCGGCCUUCUCGAGAUGUCCGUCGAGGGACGGGGCGUCGCGAGCCGGAAGGUGCAGUCGCUGGCCGUCGCCGGCGGCACCAAGCUGUUCCCGGCGUUGAACGCGGCCGUCGAGAUCCUGGAGGCGCGGUGCUGGGAGGCGAAGCGCGAACGCGUCGGCGCCGUCGUCCUCAUCUCCGACGGCGACGACCGCACCAUCUUCCGCGAGGCCAUCAACCCCAGGUACCCCGUCCACGCCUUCGGCUUCCGCGGCGCGCACGACGCGAGGGCCGUGCACCACGUCGCCGACCACACCUCCGGCGUGUACGGCGUCCUCGACGACGAGCACGACAGGGUCACCGACGCGUUCGCGGCGUGCGUCCGCCGCGUCACCUCCGUCGUCGCCGUCGACGCGCAGGUCGACCUCACCUGCGGCGCCUACUCCAGGGCGUCGCUCCUGGCCGUCGAGAGGAGCGGGGACCACAGGGCCCACGUCGACGAGGACCGGAGGUCCGGGUUCAUCUACGCCGGCGCGCUCUGCGCCGGCGACGUCAAGAACUUCCUCGUGUACGUCGACGUCGACCGGGAGGCCGACGGCGGCGGCGUCACCGAGCUGCUCACCGCGCACGGCACGUACAUGGACGCGGCGAGGAGGAAGGAGACGACCGUGCACCUGGACGAGCGGAUGGCCGUGGUGCAGAGGCGCGACAAGGUCCCCGACGUGUCCCGCGACGUCGCGGCGGAGCUGGUCCGCGUCGACACGGUCAAGAUGGUCGCCGUCGUGCUCGACAGGUUCAAGGACAAGGGGAGCGCCGCCGCCGCCAUGGAGCUCCGUGAGGGGUGGUGCCGCGUCAAGGCCUCCGAGGACGCGCGUGCCGCCGGCGCGGCGAGCCUCGCCGUCCUCGAGAGGGAGAUCGAGGAGAUGGAGGCCAGCCUGGUCCGGUGCACCGGGCUGUCCACCAUGCUCUCCUGGCUCAAUCGCCACAAGCUUCAGCUGCACACCGCCGCCGCCGCCGCCGCGACGGCGAGGGUUUCCCCGGCGCCACCGUCGUCGUCCAACGUGGUGGCGGACGCUAUCACAGCCGGCGAGGGGCACGUGAAGGAGGUUGCUGGCGUCGCCGUCGUCUCCGGCGGUACGAAGCGCAAGUGCGUGGAGAUGGACAUGAUCGAGGAGAGGCUUGCCUACUGGUCCAAGGUGAAGCACGACCUGCCGCUCAUGUUCCCGGACCACGCGGCGGCAGCGGCGACGGCGGCGGCGGCGGCGGCGGCGGAGGGUACGGCGAGCACCGGCGACCACGUGGCGGCGGUGUUCCGCGACGCCUCGUUGGAGACCAUCAACCGCGCCAUGUUCCACGACGUCUACUUGGUACGUGCUGACUCGUUUCGUUGCCCCUUAUAA
This 3405-nucleotide long non-coding RNA is filed under the name Oryza sativa Indica Group (long-grained rice). RNAcentral's name for it is "lncRNA OsZS97_11G022100". The record is from RNAcentral. Lineage: Eukaryota; Viridiplantae; Streptophyta; Magnoliopsida; Poales; Poaceae.